RNAcentral lists this ribosomal RNA (1147 nucleotides) under uncultured Cryomorphaceae bacterium. RNAcentral describes it as "bacterial SSU rRNA". It matches the Rfam family "Bacterial small subunit ribosomal RNA", at positions 373 to 1533 of the family's 1533-position model. The record is from RNAcentral. Lineage: Bacteria; Pseudomonadati; Bacteroidota; Flavobacteriia; Flavobacteriales; Cryomorphaceae.
GGAGGAACUCUGACGCAGCCAUGCCGCGUGCAGGAAUAAGGCCCUACGGGUUGUAAACUGCUUUUAUACGGGAAGAACUAUGUUUACGUGUAAACAUUUGACGGUACCGUACGAAUAAGGAUCGGCUAACUCCGUGCCAGCAGCCGCGGUAAUACGGAGGAUCCAAGCGUUAUCCGGAUUUAUUGGGUUUAAAGGGUCCGCAGGCGGAAAAUUAAGUCAGUGGUGAAAUCCUACAGCUUAACUGUAGAACUGCCAUUGAUACUGAUUUUCUUGAGUACACCUGAAGUGGGCGGAAUGUGUCAUGUAGCGGUGAAAUGCUUAGAUAUGACACAGAACACCGAUUGCGAAGGCAGCUCACUAAAGUGUCACUGACGCUGAGGGACGAAAGCGUGGGUAGCGAACAGGAUUAGAUACCCUGGUAGUCCACGCCGUAAACGAUGAUCACUAGAUGUUGGCGAUAUAUUGUCAGUAUCUGAGCGAAAGCAUUAAGUGAUCCACCUGGGGAGUACGGUCGCAAGAUUGAAACUCAAAGGAAUUGACGGGGGCCCGCACAAGCGGUGGAGCAUGUGGUUUAAUUCGAUGGUACGCGAGGAACCUUACCUAGGCUUAAAUGUAGAUUGACGUAUUGGGAAACCAAUAUUUCUUCGGACAAUUUACAAGGUGCUGCAUGGUUGUCGUCAGCUCGUGCUGUGAAGUGUCGGGUUAAGUCCCAUAACGAGCGCAACCCUUAUCAUUAGUUGCUAACAUUUAGUUGAGGACUCUAAUGAAACUGCCCGCGUAAGCGUGGAGGAAGGUGGGGAUGACGUCAAAUCAUCACGGCCCUUACGUCUAGGGCUACACACGUGCUACAAUGGUGAAUACAGAGGGAUGCCAGCUGGUAACAGUGAGCAAAUCCACAAAAUUCAUCUCAGUUCGGAUUGAGGUCUGCAACUCGACCUCAUGAAGCUGGAAUCGCUAGUAAUCGUAUAUCAGCCAUGAUACGGUGAAUACGUUCCCGGGCCUUGUACACACCGCCCGUCAAGCCAUGGAAGUUGGGGAUACCUGAAGUCGGUAACCGAAAGGAGCUGCCUAAGGUAAAAUCAGUAACUGGGGCUAAGUCGUAACAAGGUAGCCGUACCGGAAGGUGUGGCUGGAAUAUCUCUUUUAU